Molecule: small nucleolar RNA, 183 nt
Organism: Oryzias javanicus (javanese ricefish)
Lineage: Eukaryota; Metazoa; Chordata; Actinopteri; Beloniformes; Adrianichthyidae
Source: Ensembl
CCCUUCUCUUUAAAGCACCCUGUUGGAACUGCAGGAGUGGAACCGCAGCGGUUUGGCUCGUGUGGCUGUGUCAGCAUGGGUACAUCAGGGAAGGAGAUCAGAGCACUGCAUCGUAAACGAGACCAGGAAGGGCCUCUUUCUUAAUGUCCGCUUUCCUCCGUCUCUUGGUGCAGUGCUACAUUU